This 74-nucleotide transfer RNA is filed under the name Yaravirus sp. 'brasiliensis'. Its description in RNAcentral is "Yaravirus brasiliensis tRNA-Ile". It matches the Rfam family "tRNA". Rfam says of the family: Transfer RNA (tRNA) molecules are approximately 80 nucleotides in length. Their secondary structure includes four short double-helical elements and three loops (D, anti-codon, and T loops). The record is from RNAcentral. Lineage: Varidnaviria; Bamfordvirae; Nucleocytoviricota; Mriyaviricetes; Yaraviridae.
UGAACUCGUAGCUCAGUGGUAGAGCAGUGUCCUAAUAAGGCAUUGGUCGCUGGAUCAAUCCCAGCCGGGUUCAA